CUUCAAUCGAGAUUUUUUUUUCAAGAAAAAAAAAUCAGGAAUCUAAUAAUUUGAUAAAAAAGAACCGUUUCAAGUAAAAGAUGAAUGUUGUACAUUAAAACUUUUUAAAAUGCAACUUCGUAAAAAAUUAGUGUAUUAAAGAAAUAUUUUAGUGGUAAGUAGGAUAACGUUUGAUUUUUAUGGAUGAAACGGAAAGCGGGGAGGGGGGAGGGGGGCUAAUUCAUUUUAAAAAUAACAGGCUGUGAUCUUUUUUUUUUAUGAAAAAAUGCAGGAUGUGCCAUUCCAUCCCCCAUCCCCCCCUUAAACAUGUUAAAAAAAAUUGUAAAAAUCGCGCGUUUGUUGCCAAAUAUAUGAAUUUAAUAUUCAGUGGUGGGGGUCCCGGGGUUGGAACACCCCUUUUUUGCAUGAUCAAUGCAUUUAAAUGGAGACAUAAAGUUGGCCCCCUUCCCCCUGUUUUGUCCUGGAUUUGGACCUGGAUUCGCCACUGAUAUAAAUUCGGUAUCAAAAGAAUGAAUUUCCUUCUUAAUUAGUGAAUGAAAUGUUUAUGAAAAAAUGGAUUUUGUCUUAUUAUUAUAUUCAGGCAUAUACAAUGUACUUCAAUUUUUUUUUAAAUUCAUGCUCGUCUCUAGAUCUGCAAGUGUUGAUCGGUAAUAAACACGUG
RNAcentral lists this long non-coding RNA (661 nucleotides) under Mytilus galloprovincialis (Mediterranean mussel). The record is from RNAcentral. Lineage: Eukaryota; Metazoa; Mollusca; Bivalvia; Mytilida; Mytilidae.